This 108-nucleotide non-coding RNA is filed under the name Aspergillus nidulans FGSC A4. Its description in RNAcentral is "TPP riboswitch aptamer (THI element)". It matches the Rfam family "TPP riboswitch aptamer (THI element)". From Rfam's summary of the family: Vitamin B(1) in its active form thiamin pyrophosphate (TPP) is an essential coenzyme that is synthesised by coupling of pyrimidine and thiazole moieties in bacteria. The previously detected thiamin-regulatory element, thi box was extended, resulting in a new, highly conserved RNA secondary structure, the THI element, which is widely distributed in eubacteria and also occurs in some archaea. Lineage: Eukaryota; Fungi; Ascomycota; Eurotiomycetes; Eurotiales; Aspergillaceae. RNAcentral also lists the same sequence under 1 other name. The record is from Rfam by way of RNAcentral.
CAUCCGCAUGACAGGUGUUCGGCCGGGGUCAAACCCGGUCGUUCUGAGAUUAUACUGUCAUAACUUGAUCUAGAUAAUACUAGCGAAAGGACAUGCGUUGCAUUGAUU